GACGAACGCUGGCGGCGUGCUUAACACGUGCAAGUCGAACGGAAAGGCCCUGCUUUUGUGGGGUGCUCGAGUGGCGAACGGGUGAGUAACACGUGAGUAACCUGCCCUUGACUUUGGGAUAACUUCAGGAAACUGGGGCUAAUACCGGAUAGGAGCUCCUGCUGCAUGGUGGGGGUUGGAAAGUUUCGGCGGUUGGGGAUGGACUCGCGGCUUAUCAGCUUGUUGGUGGGGUAGUGGCUUACCAAGGCUUUGACGGGUAGCCGGCCUGAGAGGGUGACCGGCCACAUUGGGACUGAGAUACGGCCCAGACUCCUACGGGAGGCAGCAGUGGGGAAUAUUGCACAAUGGGCGGAAGCCUGAUGCAGCAACGCCGCGUGCGGGAUGACGGCCUUCGGGUUGUAAACCGCUUUCGCCUGUGACGAAGCGUGAGUGACGGUAAUGGGUAAAGAAGCACCGGCUAACUACGUGCCAGCAGCCGCGGUGAUACGUAGGGUGCGAGCGUUGUCCGGAUUUAUUGGGCGUAAAGGGCUCGUAGGUGGUUGAUCGCGUCGGAAGUGUAAUCUUGGGGCUUAACCCUGAGCGUGCUUUCGAUACGGGUUGACUUGAGGAAGGUAGGGGAGAAUGGAAUUCCUGGUGGAGCGGUGGAAUGCGCAGAUAUCAGGAGGAACACCAGUGGCGAAGGCGGUUCUCUGGGCCUUUCCUGACGCUGAGGAGCGAAAGCGUGGGGAGCGAACAGGCUUAGAUACCCUGGUAGUCCACGCUGUAAACGGUGGGUACUAGGUGUGGGGUCCAUUCCACGGGUUCCGUGCCGUAGCAAACGCUUUAAGUACCCCGCCUGGGGAGUACGGCCGCAAGGCUAAAACUCAAAGGAAUUGACGGGGCCCCGCACAAGCGGCGGAGCAUGCGGAUUAAUUCGAUGCAACGCGUAGAACCUUACCUGGGUUUGACAUGGAUCGGGAGUGCUCAGAGAUGGGUGUGCCUCUUUUGGGGUCGGUUCACAGGUGGUGCAUGCCUGUCGUCAGCUCGUGUCGUGAGAUGUUGGGUUAAGUCCCGCAACGAGCGCAACCCUUGUUCACUGUUGCCAGCACGUUAUGGUGGGGACUCAGUGGAGACCGCCGGGGUCAACUCGGAGGAAGGUGGGGAUGACGUCAAGUCAUCAUGCCCCUUAUGUCCAGGGCUUCACGCAUGCUACAAUGGCUGGUACAGAGAGUGGCGAGCCUGUGAGGGUGAGCGAAUCUCGGAAAGCCGGUCUCAGUUCGGAUUGGGGUCUGCAACUCGACCUCAUGAAGUCGGAGUCGCUAGUAAUCGCAGAUCAGCAACGCUGCGGUGAAUACGUUCCCGAGGCU
Molecule: ribosomal RNA, 1346 nt
Filed under: uncultured bacterium
Lineage: Bacteria
Description: partial 16S ribosomal RNA
Rfam family: Bacterial small subunit ribosomal RNA
Source: RNAcentral